CCUACGGGAGGCAGCAGUGAGGAAUAUUGGUCAAUGGGCGUAAGCCUGAACCAGCCACGUCGCGUGAGGGAUGAAGGUUCUCUGGACCGUAAACCUCUUUUUUAAGGGAAUAAAGUGUGGGACGUGUCCUAUUUUGCAUGUACCUUAUGAAUAAGGAUAGGCUAACUAAGUGCCAGAAGCCGCGGUAAUACGGAGGAUCCGAGCGUUAUCCGGAUUUAUUGGGUUUAAAGGGUGCGUAGGCGGCCUUUUAAGUCAGCGGUGAAAGUCUGUGGCUCAACCAUAGAAUGGCCGUUGAAACUGGGGAGCUUGAGUACGUAUGAGGCGAGUGGAAUGCGUGGUGUAGCGGUGAAAUGCUUAGAUAUCACGCAGAACCCCAGUUGCGAAGGCGGCCUGCCAAGCCAUGACUGACGCUGAUGCACGAAAGCGUGGGGAUCAAACAGGAGUAGAUACCCCAGUAGUC
RNAcentral lists this ribosomal RNA (460 nucleotides) under uncultured bacterium. Its description in RNAcentral is "partial 16S ribosomal RNA". It matches the Rfam family "Bacterial small subunit ribosomal RNA", at positions 338 to 795 of the family's 1533-position model. The record is from RNAcentral.